GACGAACGCUGGCGGCAUGCUUAACACAUGCAAGUCGAACGGAAAGGCCCUGCUUUUGUGGGGUGCUCGAGUGGCGAACGGGUGAGUAACACGUGAGUAACCUGCCCUUGACUUUGGGAUAACUUCAGGAAACUGGGGCUAAUACCGGAUAGGAGCUCCUGCUGCAUGGUGGGGGUUGGAAAGUUUCGGCGGUUGGGGAUGGACUCGCGGCUUAUCAGCUUGUUGGUGGGGUAGUGGCUUACCAAGGCUUUGACGGGUAGCCGGCCUGAGAGGGUGACCGGCCACAUUGGGACUGAGAUACGGCCCAGACUCCUACGGGAGGCAGCAGUGGGGAAUAUUGCACAAUGGGCGGAAGCCUGAUGCAGCAACGCCGCGUGCGGGAUGACGGCCUUCGGGUUGUAAACCGCUUUCGCCUGUGACGAAGCGUGAGUGACGGUAAUGGGUAAAGAAGCACCGGCUAACUACGUGCCAGCAGCCGCGGUGAUACGUAGGGUGCGAGCGUUGUCCGGAUUUAUUGGGCGUAAAGGGCUCGUAGGUGGUUGAUCGCGUCGGAAGUGUAAUCUUGGGGCUUAACCCUGAGCGUGCUUUCGAUACGGGUUGACUUGAGGAAGGUAGGGGAGAAUGGAAUUCCUGGUGGAGCGGUGGAAUGCGCAGAUAUCAGGAGGAACACCAGUGGCGAAGGCGGUUCUCUGGGCCUUUCCUGACGCUGAGGAGCGAAAGCGUGGGGAGCGAACAGGCUUAGAUACCCUGGUAGUCCACGCUGUAAACGGUGGGUACUAGGUGUGGGGUCCAUUCCACGGGUUCCGUGCCGUAGCUAACGCUUUAAGUACCCCGCCUGGGGAGUACGGCCGCAAGGCUAAAACUCAAAGGAAUUGACGGGGCCCCGCACAAGCGGCGGAGCAUGCGGAUUAAUUCGAUGCAACGCGUAGAACCUUACCUGGGUUUGACAUGGAUCGGGAGUGCUCAGAGAUGGGUGUGCCUCUUUUGGGGUCGGUUCACAGGUGGUGCAUGGCUGUCGUCAGCUCGUGUCGUGAGAUGUUGGGUUAAGUCCCGCAACGAGCGCAACCCUUGUUCACUGUUGCCAGCACGUUAUGGUGGGGACUCAGUGGAGACCGCCGGGGUCAACUCGGAGGAAGGUGGGGAUGACGUCAAGUCAUCAUGCCCCUUAUGUCCAGGGCUUCACGCAUGCUACAAUGGCUGGUACAGAGAGUGGCGAGCCUGUGAGGGUGAGCGAAUCUCGGAAAGCCGGUCUCAGUUCGGAUUGGGGUCUGCAACUCGACCUCAUGAAGUCGGAGUCGCUAGUAAUCGCAGAUCAGCAACGCUGCGGUGAAUACGUUCCCGGG
Molecule: ribosomal RNA, 1343 nt
Filed under: uncultured bacterium
Lineage: Bacteria
Description: 16S ribosomal RNA
Rfam family: Bacterial small subunit ribosomal RNA
Source: RNAcentral